CUGGUGACUAUGGAAAAUGAAAGCAAGUUCACGCUGACAAUGCCCGUAAAGAGCUUUGUGAAGCCAUGACAGUGCUCUUCAAUUUUAACAUGAAGAAGAGGGCAUGUGAGUUAGCAAGACUGGCCAGAGGCCAGAGCCCGGGGCCAGCAAACCUUUCCCUGCUGUGAGGUGGGCAAGUUAGUUGCUCCAAAAACAAGAUAAAAUGAUUGAGUUCUUUUCUCAAGCGGGAGUCGGAGUUUAUCUGCUCUGAGGGUCAUCCAACUAAAAAAUAUAUAUAUCUUGAGGAUUUGCAUUGAUAUUCAAUAUCGACAUAUCCAAGGCCUCCCUCCAGACCACUAGAUUCUAGUAAUUUGAACCGGCUUCUCCUCUCCCUCAAAGCAGCUCUGCUUAGUACAGUGCUUGGCACAAAGCAAAUAUUCAAUAAAUGUUAGCCAACGUUAGCUGCUCAUCUGCUUUCCUUAAAAGCCAAGUCAUUUCAACAAACCACCCCUGAGGCCCCAAGACACAGAAGAACAGCAUCCAGUCCAAGCCUUCUGGUGCAGAGCCCCAGCAGCUACUAUUAAUGAGUGUCUGGAAUAUGUUCCUGGCAUUUCACCUACCCUCUCUCCAAUCCUUCCAAGAAACUCACAAAGCAGGGCUUUUUCUUGAACUUCUCUUCCUCACAACAGUUAAAUCAUCCAUUUAAAGAUGUCAAACAACCUCCGUGUUCUAAGAUGUCUCUGUGUUAGGAAAACUUGGAUAAGCAGGUCCAUAGAAAUUCCUCUGCUAGCCCUGUCUCCUGGAAUUUCUACAUAAUGGCAUAUCCUCAGUUUGAAGCUGAAAAGGUUAAAUUCUACCUGAAGGAUGAAAACAACCAACAUUCUGUGCCAAGACAGUCAGGAGGGCAACCAUGUUUCCUGGUGGAGCCUCUGGAACCACUCAAGCCAAGAUGACCGGGGGUUUGGCUGGGAGGAGAUGGGGAAACUACAGACCCUACAGAUGGUUUCCUGUACCAUGAGGUUAAGCCUGGGGGCAGGAGAGGCUGUACCUUAGUUCCUUCAUCUGUAAAAUAAAGUAACAUAGUACCUACCUCA
Molecule: long non-coding RNA, 1073 nt
Filed under: Homo sapiens (human)
Lineage: Eukaryota; Metazoa; Chordata; Mammalia; Primates; Hominidae
Description: PREDICTED lncRNA (TCONS_00231781)
Source: RNAcentral